This 377-nucleotide ribosomal RNA is filed under the name uncultured bacterium. RNAcentral's name for it is "bacterial SSU rRNA". It matches the Rfam family "Bacterial small subunit ribosomal RNA", at positions 521 to 896 of the family's 1533-position model. The record is from RNAcentral.
UAAUACGUAGGUGGCGAGCGUUGUCCGGAUUUAUUGGGCGUAAAGCGCCCGCAGGCGGCCUGACAAGUUUCAGGUGAAAUCUCCCGGCUUAACUGGGAGGGGUCCUGGAAAACUGUCAGGCUUGAGGCAGGGAGAGGGAUGUGGAAUUCCCGGUGUAGUGGUGAAAUGCGUAGAUAUCGGGAGGAACACCAGUGGCGAAGGCGGCAUCCUGGCCCUGUCCUGACGCUCAGGGGCGAAAGCGUGGGGAGCAAACCGGAUUAGAUACCCGGGUAGUCCACGCCGUAAACGAUGAGUACUAGGUGUAGGGGGUAUCGACCCCCUCUGUGCCGAAGCUAACGCGAUAAGUACUCCGCCUGGGGACUACGGCCGCAAGGCUA